Molecule: ribosomal RNA, 473 nt
Filed under: uncultured Escherichia sp.
Lineage: Bacteria; Pseudomonadati; Pseudomonadota; Gammaproteobacteria; Enterobacterales; Enterobacteriaceae
Description: bacterial SSU rRNA
Rfam family: Bacterial small subunit ribosomal RNA
Source: RNAcentral
GCUCAGAUUGAACGCUGGCGGCAGGCCUAACACAUGCAAGUCGAACGGUAACAGGAAGCAGCUUGCUGCUUUGCUGACGAGUGGCGGACGGGUGAGUAAUGUCUGGGAAACUGCCUGAUGGAGGGGGAUAACUACUGGAAACGGUAGCUAAUACCGCAUAACGUCGCAAGACCAAAGAGGGGGACCUUCGGGCCUCUUGCCAUCGGAUGUGCCCAGAUGGGAUUAGCUAGUAGGUGGGGUAAAGGCUCACCUAGGCGACGAUCCCUAGCUGGUUUGAGAGGAUGACCAGCCACACUGGAACUGAGACACGGUCCAGACUCCUACGGGAGGCAGCAGUGGGGAAUAUUGCACAAUGGGCGCAAGCCUGAUGCAGCCAUGCCGCGUGUAUGAAGAAGGCCUUCGGGUUGUAAAGUACUUUCAGCGGGGAGGAAGGGAGUAAAGUUAAUACCUUGCUCAUUGACGUACCCGCAGAA